AAAUUUAAAAAAAUGCCCUCAGCUGGAAUCGAACCAUGUAUAUGCAAAAAAUGAAGCACUUGGAACAAAUGCCAGAGCCAGGUAUCGAAGGGAGGCGCGUUUCAAAAUGCUGCGCUCCACUUAUUGAGUUGGCAUGCCAACUCACCGGUCCAGGUACGCGUGGAAACAGUCAACGGAUCAUGAACCAAUUGAAUGGACAACAGGAAAGGCGUGGCAGUGACUAGGACAAACCCUAGGACUCAAACCAGACGGCG
RNAcentral lists this long non-coding RNA (254 nucleotides) under Lathyrus oleraceus (garden pea). RNAcentral's name for it is "Pisum sativum (pea) long non-coding RNA (PSAT_LNC011694)". Lineage: Eukaryota; Viridiplantae; Streptophyta; Magnoliopsida; Fabales; Fabaceae. The record is from RNAcentral.